Molecule: ribosomal RNA, 476 nt
Filed under: uncultured Desulfobulbus sp.
Lineage: Bacteria; Pseudomonadati; Thermodesulfobacteriota; Desulfobulbia; Desulfobulbales; Desulfobulbaceae
Description: bacterial SSU rRNA
Rfam family: Bacterial small subunit ribosomal RNA
Source: RNAcentral
GGACGGGGCCCGCACAAGCGGUGGAGUAUGUGGUUUAAUUCGAUGCAACGCGAAGAACCUUACCUGGUCUUGACAUCCCGGAGACCCUUAGGAAACUAGGGGGUGCUUCCAUCUGGAAGAAUCUGGAGACAGGUGCUGCAUGGCUGUCGUCAGCUCGUGUCGUGAGAUGUUGGGUUAAGUCCCGCAACGAGCGCAACCCUUGCCUUUAGUUGCCAGCAGUUCGGCUGGGCACUCUAAAGGGACUGCCGGUGUUAAACCGGAGGAAGGUGGGGAUGACGUCAAGUCCUCAUGGCCUUUAUGACCAGGGCUACACACGUGCUACAAUGGCCGAUACAAAGGGCAGCGACACUGCGAGGUGAAGCCAAUCCCGUAAAAUCGGUCUCAGUCCGGAUUGGAGUCUGCAACUCGACUCCAUGAAGUUGGAAUCGCUAGUAAUCGUGGAUCAGCAUGCCACGGUGAAUACGUUCCCGGGCCUU